GACGAACGCUGGAGGCGUGCUUAACACAUGCAAGUCGAACGAUGAAAUGGAGCUUGCUCCAUGGAUUAGUGGCGAACGGGUGAGUAACACGUGAAUAACCUGCCCUUAAUUUUGGAAUAACCCAGGGAAACCUGGGCUAAUACCGGAUAAGUAAACCUGUGGCAUCACAUGGUUUUGGAAAGUUUUUCGAUUAAGGAUGGAUUCGCGGCCUAUCAGCUUGUUGGUGAGGUAAUGACUCACCAAGGCGACGACGGGUAGCCGGCCUGAGAGGGUGAACGGCCACACUGGGACUGAGACACGGCCCAGACUCCUACGGGAGGCAGCAGUGGGGAAUAUUGCGCAAUGGACGAAAGUCUGACGCAGCGACGCCUCGUGAGGGACGAAGGUCUUCGGAUUGUAAACCUCUUUCAGCAGGGACGAAGCGAAAGUGACGGUACCUGCAGAAGAAGCACCGGCUAACUAUGUGCCAGCCGCCGCAGUAA
Molecule: ribosomal RNA, 482 nt
Filed under: uncultured bacterium
Lineage: Bacteria
Description: partial 16S ribosomal RNA
Rfam family: Bacterial small subunit ribosomal RNA
Source: RNAcentral